UCAUCAGGCACCACCCAGAGUCUGAGGCUGCGUGACGGUGGGUACAAAAAAAAAAGAAAAAAGAAAUAAAAAAUAAGAGGAAAGACUAAUUCUGGAGGAAGCUCUGUACACUAGAGAAUGGUGAAUUUUAAAUUCAUAGCUAAAAUAAUCUAAAAAGCUGCUGUAGAAUCACAUUCAAUCAGUUAAUUAUAGGAUGCAUGUGUUUCAUGGUAAUUUAAUUUUAAAAAUUCAGAAACUUUAGUUGAUGCCAUGCCAGUCACCAAUAUACACCGGGCCCUGACCCAGGGAAGUAAUAGUGCUAGUAAGCCACAUGGGGAAGAAAGUUCUAGUAGACACUUCAAAAAGGACACUUAUAAACCAGCAAAGGCUACCAGGCCGUUGAGGGUCUGCUUAAUCCAUGAAUGAAUGAAUGAAUGAAUGAUCCAUAAGGACACUGGGAUUAUUACAAGAAAAUAUUCAAUCCACUGAGAUAUUAAAGCCAAAAUGAUUUGUGAAAUGCUAAUCAUUAUAAGAAAGAGACUAGUAAUUUUUAAAAAACCAAAUCUAUAGAUUCAUGUGUGAUUCUCACAAAUGUCUUUCAGGAAAGACAAUCAUCGAUGUGUUUCAAAUAUCUGAUUGUUCAUCACUUGAAAAUUCACGGUUGCUCUGGAGGCAGGAUUAUUGGAAGGUAUGGUGAGCCAGCAUAUCAGAAGACAACUGCCACUGAAAAAGAUCAGGGUUCAUAAGAGGAGAGGGCAUCUCAUGCCACACGGGAAUACACUGACAAGCACUGGGGUCGGUCAGGAGCCAAAAGGAGCAAGGGGAAAGCAUGGGGAUGCGUCUUUAUUGUAGUUUCCACGUGCAAGGCAGGGUGAAAAGGUGAGUUGAAGAAAGCCCAAAGAAGAAUAGCAAACGUGAUCAAGAAAAGGCAGACCACUAGACAUGUGGGCCCUUCAGUCUAAAAGUCAAGGCUGAAAAAUAACACUAUCCAAAUCUAUAAAAGUAUGGUGAGUAUGGAUGUGCAUGGUGAAGUUGGACUUGCUUAUCAAAUUCCUGAUUGCUAACAAUUAAGGCAACAACCCUUGAAACUUAAAAACAGAACUAUUUAGAGGCAAUAAGCUUUGUUAUUUUCGUGCUGUGUAAGAAAUAGUGAUUGUACCACCCAGAGGUAGUAUAGGAAGACAUAGUUUUGAAAUGGAUUGUUAAGCAAGAAGGCAUUUUGGAAAUUAUUUGUCCAAAUCCUCAUUUCACACAUGGGGAAAGUGGCCCAAGAAAGAAGUGUCUUGGCCAAAGUGACAUGAAUAACAAAACCCAGGUAAUUCAGCGUUCAUUAAUAAAUAUAAGCACUUACUCUAUCAGGCCCUGCUCAUUCUACUUGCCAUGUGAUUAGAUAAAUCCAUUAGCAGUUUCUAAAGAUUUCUAAAUGAUUUUUAAUGAAAGUUAGAAAUUUAGGAAUAUAUCCUUUUUAAUACUGACAGCAUGAAUGACAGUUUAGCAGUCCUACAAAACUUACCCUCAUAUAAGAUGUUGAAGACAGAACAAAGGCCAGAAGAGACCAUUAUAUAUAUUCAUAGUUGAUUACCCUUAGUUAGUGGUUGGUGACAGAAAUGAUGAAAUGAAUUCUUACCUUUUGGGUUAUCUAUGUGACAGCUCUCCAUUAGCACAAAUACACAGCAGUUAAUGAUUCAUUCACUGUCAUCCCUGGGUUAUGUGCAGGCAUGGGGCAGAUAAUGAGAAAACACUUGUUUCUUGGCUUUGUGUUAUAUUCUUAUAAAUGAAUUGGACUAUGUAUUGAGCCUCAGAAAAUUCAUGAUACUUUAGUGAAGUACACUACAAUAUAUCCUCUGUAGUUGGUCUUCCUGAAUUUUUCUCUAGACUCUUUUCCAACAAACUCAUCUUUUAAAAAGGCUCAUUAUUUUCUGGGUUUUACAAAUUUAGACUUUAUGAAGAUUCAAACUCUGAAGCUCCUUUAUUUUUGAAGAACACUUUAAAGCAAAUAAUAUAAGUUAA
Myotis myotis is the source of this 1989-nucleotide long non-coding RNA. RefSeq lists it as uncharacterized. The record is from RefSeq and is a predicted model, not a curated record. NCBI's taxonomy places the organism in Eukaryota, Metazoa, Chordata, Mammalia, Chiroptera, Vespertilionidae. The transcript has 3 exons.